RNAcentral lists this small RNA (28 nucleotides) under Bombyx mori (domestic silkworm). RNAcentral describes it as "ovarian small RNA-8281". The record is from RNAcentral. Lineage: Eukaryota; Metazoa; Arthropoda; Insecta; Lepidoptera; Bombycidae.
UGAUAGGUGGGUAUCGGGUUUUCUCAAU